RNAcentral lists this ribosomal RNA (460 nucleotides) under uncultured bacterium. RNAcentral describes it as "partial 16S ribosomal RNA". It matches the Rfam family "Bacterial small subunit ribosomal RNA", at positions 338 to 795 of the family's 1533-position model. The record is from RNAcentral.
CCUACGGGAGGCAGCAGUGAGGAAUAUUGGUCAAUGGACGAGAGUCUGAACCAGCCAAGUAGCGUGAAGGAUGACUGCCCUAUGGGUUGUAAACUUCUUUUAUAUGGGAAUAAAACAGGGUAUGCAUACCCUCUUGUAUGUACCAUAUGAAUAAGGAUCGGCUAACUCCGUGCCAGCAGCCGCGGUAAUACGGAGGAUCCGAGCGUUAUCCGGAUUUAUUGGGUUUAAAGGGAGCGUAGGUGGAUUGUUAAGUCAGUUGUGAAAGUUUGCGGCUCAACCGUAAAAGUGCAGUUGAAACUGGCAGUCUUGAGUGCAGUAGAGGUGUGCGGAAUUCGUGGUGUAGCGGUGAAAUGCUUAGAUAUCACGAAGAACUCCGAUUGCGAAGGCAGCUCACUGGACUGCAACUGACACUGAUGCUCGAAAGUGUGGGUAUCGAACAGGAUUAGAUACCCCUGUAGUC